Molecule: non-coding RNA, 150 nt
Organism: Pseudonaja textilis
Lineage: Eukaryota; Metazoa; Chordata; Lepidosauria; Squamata; Elapidae
Source: RefSeq, a predicted model, not a curated record
GUCGGAUUCACUUAACUUGGUUACCAACUUAACAACUGCAGCGAUUCACUUAACAGCUGCGUCAAGAAAGGUUUUAAAUGUGGCAAAUUCACUUAACAACUGUCUUACUUAGCAACAUAAAUUUUGGGCUGAACUCGAAGACUACCUGUA